UACGGGGGGGGGCAAGCGUUGUUCGGAAUUACUGGGCGUAAAGGGCUCGUAGGCGGCCAACUAAGUCAGACGUGAAAUCCCUCGGCUUAACCGGGGAACUGCGUCUGAUACUGGUUGGCUUGAAUCCGGGAGAGGGAUGUGGAAUUCCAGGUGUAGCGGUGAAAUGCGUAGAUAUCUGGAGGAACACCGGUGGCGAAGGCGGCAUCCUGGACCGGUAUUGACGCGUGAGGAGCGAAAGCCAGGGGAGCAAAGCGGG
Molecule: ribosomal RNA, 256 nt
Filed under: uncultured bacterium
Lineage: Bacteria
Description: partial 16S ribosomal RNA
Rfam family: Bacterial small subunit ribosomal RNA
Source: RNAcentral